GAGUCAUUGGGACUCUAACUAAACCUAAAGGCGCAAUGAAAGUGAAGGUCCGCCUCGCGCGGACCGAGGGAGGAUGGGCCGGCCCUCGGGCCGACCCCGCACUCCCGGGGCGUCUCGUUCUCAUCGCGAGAAGAGGCGCACCCAGAGCGUACACGCUGGGACCCGAAAGAUGGUGAACUAUGCCUGGUCAGGACGAAGUCAGGGGAAACCCUGAUGGAGGUCCGUAGCGAUUCUGACGUGCAAAUCGAUCGUCGGAACUGGGUAUAGGGGCGAAAGACUAAUCGAACCAUCUAGUAGCUGGUUCCCUCCGAAGUUUCCCUCAGGAUAGCUGGCGCUCGCCGUCGCGAGUCUCAUUCGGUAAAGCGAAUGAUUAGAGGCAUUGGGGUCGAAACGGCCUCAACCUAUUCUCAAACUUUAAAUGGGUGAGAUCUCCGGCUUGCUUGAAAAGUGAAGCCGCGAGACUUAAAAUCGGAUCAAUGAGUGCCAAGUGGGCCACUUUUGGUAAGCAGAACUGGCGCUGUGGGAUGAACCAAACGCCGAGUUAAAGCGCCUAAAUCGACGCUUAUGGGAUACCAUGAAAGGCG
Molecule: ribosomal RNA, 584 nt
Filed under: Sarophorus costatus
Lineage: Eukaryota; Metazoa; Arthropoda; Insecta; Coleoptera; Scarabaeidae
Description: eukaryotic LSU rRNA
Rfam family: Eukaryotic large subunit ribosomal RNA
Source: RNAcentral